Molecule: long non-coding RNA, 4252 nt
Organism: Salmo trutta (river trout)
Lineage: Eukaryota; Metazoa; Chordata; Actinopteri; Salmoniformes; Salmonidae
Product: anion exchange protein 3-like
Source: Ensembl
CAGACGACCCCGAAUAUUUUUGCAUUAGGUGAAGGGUCAGGGAAGUACUCAGAUCCAGACGCAUUGGUUGCCGCUUAAAUUAGGUUUAAAGGUUAAUAAUAAUUAUGAAUUUGUGGCUGUGGUAACUAGUGAAGAUCAGACUCAGAGACUUAUUGCAAAGAAAGAACUAAACCCCGUGGGCGUGGCGUAGCGUUUAGCUGGAGCAAGGAGUCUGUGUAGCCAGGCAACAUCUGGAUGCUUGAGUGAGGCUGCUUCACUGCAUCACGUGGUUGAAGCAUCACGCAGCUGGCUGUAUCGCAGCGCGUUUCCUCUAUGAAGCAUCAUCGCGACUGCUGCGCAAUUUGACUGCAAGCCUUUGCUACCGAUUCCAUCUAGACAGCUCUCCAAACGCACAGGUUAUGCCACUCCACAGGCUUCCUGAAACCCCUACUGUGAAAGAGAAGGGCUGAUCCCCAAGCUCUAGCUACUCUCCUCCCACCUCCAUCCACCCCCCUGUCCCUCCCUAACCACACAUAGCCCCCCACUCCGCCGGACCCCGGACCCCAUGGCUGCAGGAGGCCAUGCCCCUGAGAAGGAUGUGUUGAUCAACCUGCAUCAGGAGGAGGAGGAUGAGGAAGGUUCCACAGAGGAGCAGGAAGAGGAGGACUGGGAGAAGGCAUUAUCAGUGGAGAGGUUCGGGGACAUCAUCACUGAGUCCGUGUUCAGCAGCGGAGAAAAAAUGGGCCGCAACUACAACGAAAAGGAUUUCGAGUAUCAUCGGCACACCUUUCACCACACCCACCACCCCCUGUCCACCCACCUGCCACCGCCCCAGCGCCUACGCAAGCGGGUGCUCAGCACAGACAGCGACCGCCGGCGCAAGAAGAAACGAAAGAAAAAAAAGACCUCCAUGCCGCCCUCGGAGGUCACGCCCACCAUCCAUGAGGUAGAUGAGGAGGAGGAGGCGGAGUCUGAGACAGAGGAGCGGGACCAAGUGGCCACGCCCACUGAGCAGCCUGACAACCAACCACAGUUUAGCUUGGGGAGUGAGGAGGACUUGGAACCGGCUCUCCCUUUCACUUCCUUCCACAUGGAGAGCGAACAACAACAUAUGCCGCCAGAGAAAGCCACACUGGCCACGGCAGAGGAGGUGUUGGUGGAGGAGGAAGAGGAGGAUGAGCAGCAACAGGAGGUUCGGGAGCAACCGGAGGAUGAGGAAGGUGAUGAAGAGUCCAACAACAGGUGCCCCCCCUCUGUGGACCCCCCUAGCGUGACCCCCUGUGGCUGGUUCAGAAGGAAUCCCCUCCACCCUGCACCGAGGACCAGUUACGACCUGCGGGAGCGCAUCUGCAUCGGCAGUAUGACGACCAUGGAAACAGCUGUGUACCAGAAGGUGCCCACUGACGACGCUGAGGCUGAGAUGCUGGCUAGCGCUGAUCUGGACGACAUGAAAAGUCACCGAUUCGAGGACAACCCUGGAGUGAGGCGUCACCUGGUGAAGAAGUCAUCUCGAUGCCAGCUCCUCCAGACCACCAACAGCUCUUCGCAACUGUCCAGCGUGAAGAAGAAGAGGACGGCUGACAAGAAGACCCAUGAGGUGUUUGUGGAACUCAAUGAGCUGAUAGUGGAUAAGAACCAGGAAAUGCGCUGGAAGGAGACGGCCCGUUGGAUCAAGUUUGAGGAGGACGUGGAGGAGGAGACAGACCGCUGGGGAAAACCCCACGUGGCUUCGCUUUCCUUCCGUAGCCUGCUGGAGCUCCGCAGGACCAUCACACAUGGUGCCGUCCUUUUGGACCUGGAGCAGACCACCUUGCCUGGUAUUGCUCACCUGGUGGUGGAGACCAUGAUCAUCUCAGACCAGAUCAGAGCGGAGGACCGUGCCAACGUGCUCCGCGCCCUGCUGCUCAAACACCACCACCCCAACGACGAAAAGGAGGGCCUCUUCCAUCGCAACCACUCUAGUAACAGCCUUCAAGGCAGCUUCUACCACAACCACGUUCCCAACACUGCGCUGCCCCUUGUGGCCGAUGACCAUGCAGUAGUCCACCACCACCACCUUGACAACAAAGCACCAGACCAUGACAAAGAGGUGUUUGUGAGCUUGUUUAUGAGUGGCGUGGGCAAAGUGUUGCUUUUUUGUUUACAUUGUUUCCAAAGAUCCUCAACUGUGUGUCAUUCCUCAGGGUGUGUGGAGUUCUUGGAGCAGCCGGCCAUGGCCUUCAUCAGGCUGAGUGAGGCAGUGCUGCUGGAGUCGGUCCUGGAGGUGCCGGUGCCGGUCCGUUUCCUCUUUGCCCUGCUCGGCCCCGCUCAGUCCAACAUGGACUAUCACGAGAUCGGACGCUCCUUCUCCACCCUGAUGUCUGACAAGAACUUCCACGAGGUGGCUUACUUCGCGGACGACCGGCAGGACCUGCUGAACGGCAUCAAUGAGUUCCUGGACUGCAGCAUCGUUAUCCCCCCGUCGGACGUGGAGGGCAAGGACCUGCUAAAGACGGUAGCCUCCUUCCAGAAGCAGAUGCUGCGCAAGAGGAAGGAGAGAGAGAACAUUAAGAAGGGCCUGACCCAUGCCACCCCCGGGACAGACCAGGAGACCAAAGAGGAGGACCAGGAGGUGGACCCCAUGAAGCGGUCGGGCAUCCCCUUCGGAGGCCUCAUCCAUGACAUCAGGCGACGCUACCCACGCUACGCCAGUGACAUCAAGGACGCCUUGGACUCACAGUGCAUUGCAGCCGUCAUCUUCAUCUACUUCGCAGCCCUCUCGCCCACCAUCACCUUCGGAGGACUGCUGGGAGAGAAAACAGAGGGCAUGAUGGGAGUGUCUGAGCUUAUCAUCUCCACGGCGACCCUGGGGGUGCUGUUCUCGCUGUUGGCCGGACAGCCCCUGCUCAUCAUCGGAUUCUCAGGACCGCUGCUGGUGUUUGAGGAGGCCUUCUACAAGUUCUGCCAGGCCCAGGGCUUUGAGUACCUGACUGGCCGGGUGUGGAUCGGCUUCUGGCUCGUCUUCAUAGUGCUGUUGAUAGUAGCGGCUGAGGGCAGCUUCUUGGUCAAAUACAUCUCACCCUUCACCCAGGAGAUCUUCGCCUUCCUCAUCUCGCUCAUCUUCAUCUAUGAGACCUUCUCGAAGCUCAUCAAGGUAUUCCAGGAGCAUCCUUUGAUGAGAAGCUACCCGCCUGCUCUCAGCCUGCCCGGUAUGGACUUCAUCAACCCCACAGACCCCGGGGGCCCGGUCCUAAACCAACCCAACACAGCCUUGCUGUCUCUCGUCCUUAUGCUUGGCACCUUCUUUGUGGCCUUCUUCCUCAGGAAAUUGCGCAAUAGUCGCUUCCUGGGCGGGAAGGCCAGAAGAAUCAUCGGAGACUUUGGCAUCCCCAUCUCCAUCCUCUUCUCUGUACUGUUGAGUUACUCCAUCCCCGACACUUACACCCAGAAGCUAAAUGUACCAUCUGGUUUCUCGGUCACGUCUCCUGACAAGCGGGGCUGGUUGAUCAGUCCAUUCGGUGACAAGAAGCCCUUUCCCUUGUGGAUGAUGGGGGCUUCGGUGGUGCCCGCCCUCCUUGUCUUCAUCCUCAUCUUCAUGGAGACACAGAUCACCUCACUAAUCGUCAGCAAGAAGGAGCGUCGCCUGGUCAAGGGAUCGGGCUUCCACCUGGACCUGCUGCUCAUUGUCACACUGGGCGCCAUGUGCCCUCUGUUAGGCCUGCCCUGGCUCACAGCCGCCACUGUGCGCUCUGUCACGCAUGUCAACGCCCUUACUGUCAUGAGCAAGGCCACGGCACCUGGCGAGAAGCCUAUGAUCCAGGAGGUGAAGGAGCAGCGGGUGACUGGCCUGGUAGUUGCCGUGCUCGUGGGUAUGUCUAUCGUGAUGACGGACGUGCUCCGUAACAUCCCAUUGGCCGUGCUGUUCGGGAUCUUCCUCUACAUGGGCGUCACGUCGAUCACCGGCAUCCAGCUCUACGAGCGCAUCACACUCAUGUUCACGCCCGCCAAGCACCACCCCGACCACAUAUACGUGACCAAGGUGAAGACAUGGCGUAUGAAUAUGUUCACCAUCAUCCAGCUGGCCUGCAUCGUGCUACUGUGGGUGGUCAAGUCGACCGUGGCCUCACUCGCCUUCCCCUUCAUCCUCAUCCUGACCGUGCCGCUCCGCCGCCUCAUCCUCUCCCGGAUCUUUGAGGAGCGUGAGCUUCAGGCGGUAGGUGGACAUUCCUGGAAUUCUCUGAAUUCAGGCACAAUCAUCUGGUCCAGGCAACAUUGGGUCACACGUUACAAAUAA